RNAcentral lists this transfer RNA (71 nucleotides) under Limnonectes fujianensis (Fujian large-headed frog). Its description in RNAcentral is "tRNA-Ser". It matches the Rfam family "tRNA". From Rfam's summary of the family: Transfer RNA (tRNA) molecules are approximately 80 nucleotides in length. Their secondary structure includes four short double-helical elements and three loops (D, anti-codon, and T loops). Further hydrogen bonds mediate the characteristic L-shaped molecular structure. tRNAs have two regions of fundamental functional importance: the anti-codon, which is responsible for specific mRNA codon recognition, and the 3' end, to which the tRNAs corresponding amino acid is attached (by aminoacyl-tRNA synthetases). tRNAs cope with the degeneracy of the genetic code in two manners: having more than one tRNA (with a specific anti-codon) for a particular amino acid; and 'wobble' base-pairing, i.e. permitting non-standard base-pairing at the 3rd anti-codon position. Lineage: Eukaryota; Metazoa; Chordata; Amphibia; Anura; Dicroglossidae. The record is from RNAcentral.
AAGAAAGUGACAGAGGGGUAAUGUAUCUGACUUGAAAUCAGAUGACGGGGGUUCAAUUCCCUCCUUUCUCG